This is a long non-coding RNA of Melospiza melodia melodia, 640 nucleotides long. RefSeq lists it as uncharacterized. The record is from RefSeq and is a predicted model, not a curated record. The transcript is spliced from 3 exons. Lineage: Eukaryota; Metazoa; Chordata; Aves; Passeriformes; Passerellidae.
GGGGAAUGGAAGCCCUGCAGUUCUUCCUUUUUUAGGUGGCUCAGGCCAGGGAUGACUCCUGUUCUGCUGCUGCCAGGUUGCACUGGGGACCAUGUCUGAAAUAUAUUUCGUCUUUUAAGGAGAGAUCGUACUGGAUAAGAGAGGGACAGACAACCCAGUUUUAUGCUCCAGCAAGCUACACAUUAAGGGGACAUUCCUUUGUCAGAUCUUGCACGUUCCCUGUAGGUUCCCUCCAGUCUGUGGAGUCCCUGAUACUGGUAUGUGGAUGGUCUCUGAGGGACCCCGCGCUGCAGAGUGAACAACAGCCCAUGGCCACACGGCUGAUGCAGACUCAUGAGAGGCACCUUGAGCUGCUUGAUGGGCCCUUUGACAAACAUCUGCCAGGAUGAACAAAUCUCUCAGCUCCCCAUGAGUGACUCUGUUGACUGGUGAGGCCCAUUUGCACUGCAGGAGCAGAGGAACAACAUGGAGCCACUGCUGAUGUGGGUGGAUAUGUUCAUAGCACAGACUCAGGUGUCCCGGUGUAGGAAGGGCUCUGCCCUUGCCUGAAGGGCUCUCAGCACUCAGCUCUCAGCACACCAGAGAGCUCCUGGCAUGUGAAAGAAGGUGCACAGUCCCUGCAGUUACAUUAAUUGUGGAU